Molecule: ribosomal RNA, 406 nt
Filed under: uncultured bacterium
Lineage: Bacteria
Description: partial 16S ribosomal RNA
Rfam family: Bacterial small subunit ribosomal RNA
Source: RNAcentral
AUUGAACGCUGGCGGCAGGCCUAACACAUGCAAGUCGAACGAGCGGCGGCCGGGUGAGUAAUGUUUGAGGAUCUGGCUGAUAGAGGGGGAUAACUAAUGGAAACGGUGGCUAAUACCGCAUACUAUCGGAUCAACCCAAGUGGGAUUAGCUAGUUGGUGGGGUAAAGGCUCACCUAGCCGACGAUCUCUAGCUGGUCUGAGAGGAUGACCAGUCACACGGGGACUGAGACACGGCCCAGACUCCUACGGGAGUCAGCAGUGGGGAAUAUUGCACAAUGGGCGCAACCCUUACGCAGCCAUGCCGCGUGUAUGAAGAAGGCCUUAGGGUUGUAAAGUUCUUUCGGCAGGGAGGCGUUACCCGCAGAAGAAGCACCGGCUAACUCCGUGCCAGCAGCCGCGGUAAUAC